Danio rerio (zebrafish) is the source of this 1200-nucleotide long non-coding RNA. The record is from Ensembl. NCBI's taxonomy places the organism in Eukaryota, Metazoa, Chordata, Actinopteri, Cypriniformes, Danionidae.
AAAAGCAACAACAGCAAAAAAAUCUAAUUGAAAAACUUAUAAUUAAUCAAUCAAUAUGUGAAGACCAGAAGACUAUUGCUAAUUUUUGUGCUAAGUUUUAUAAUGAUUUGUACACCUCUAAAUUUAAUAAACAAAACGCUUUAGAUUUUUUCGAAACAUUAUCUUGUGUAAAAAAAUUGGAGAAUGCUGAUCAGGCUUUUCUUGAAGCUCCAAUCACAUUAACAGAAGUUGAAGAAGCAAUUAAAUCAUUAAAACGGAAUAAAUCUCCUGGCACUGAUGGUUUCAUUUCAGAAUUUUACCAUAUGUUUAGUAAAAAUAUUGCUCCCUUCUUGUUAAGUGUUUAUAAGGAAAGUACAGAUAACUCUUUUCUCCCACCUACUUUAUGCCAAGGUUUGAUUACGCUAAUCCCCAAACCAAAUAAAGAUCGAAAUUUAUUAGAUAAUUGGCGUCCAAUAACUUUGUUGAACAACGACUACAAAAUAAUUGCUAUAGUUUUAGCUAAAAGAUUAAAAGUAAUUUUACCUUCUAUUAUUGAUGAAACUCAGUCAGGCUUUAUGCCAAAUAGACAUAUAUCUAAUAACAUAAGAUUAAUUUUAGAUAUCCUAGACUAUUCUGAUAUGAUUGAUGGAGACAGUUUCAUAUUUUUUUUGGAUUAUUAUAAAGCCUUUGACACUUUAGAACAUGGUUUUUUAUUUCAAGCGCUUAAAGAAAUUGGGUUUGGUGUUACUUUUUGUAAAAUGAUUAAAAUGUUAUAUAAAAACAUAAAUAGCUCUAUUAAGUUAAGCAGUGGUACUUCCCCAAGAUUUUUUUUACAUCGUGGAGUAAGGCAGGGAUGCCCAGUAUCACCUUAUUUGUUUUUAAUUGCAGUACAGUUUCUUAAUUUACAUAUCAAAAGGAGUAAUUUAAAAGGAAUUACUAUUGGAAGUACAGAGUUAAUUAUAAGUCAACUAGCAGAUGAUACAACAUUGUUUUUAAAAGAUUCAUCUCAAGUGGCGGCUGCAUUAAAUACUCUACAAACAUUUUCCAAUGCAUCUGGUUUAAAUCUUAAUUUAAAUAAAUGUGAAUUACUUCCCAUUAAAAAUUGUGGUGUUUCCUCAAUUUGUGGAGUAGCUGUUAAAAACUCAGUAUCUUACCUUGGCAUAAAUAUAACUAACGAUAAAAAUAGAUGUGAUGCUAACUUUAAUCCAAUUGUUGCAAAAA